UACGGAGGGGGCUAGCGUUGUUCGGAAUUACUGGGCGUAAAGCGCACGUAGGCGGCUUUGUAAGUUAGAGGUGAAAGCCCGGGGCUCAACUCCGGAACUGCCUUUAAGACUGCAUCGCUAGAAUUGUGGAGAGGUGAGUGGAAUUCCGAGUGUAGAGGUGAAAUUCGUAGAUAUUCGGAAGAACACCAGUGGCGAAGGCGACUCACUGGACACAUAUUGACGCUGAGGCGCGAAAGCGUGGGGAGCAAACAGG
Molecule: ribosomal RNA, 253 nt
Filed under: uncultured bacterium
Lineage: Bacteria
Description: partial 16S ribosomal RNA
Rfam family: Bacterial small subunit ribosomal RNA
Source: RNAcentral